UUAACUUAUUUGUAUAUUACUCGGACAACACAAAAAUCAAGAGUUUAGGGUUCUCUGGCAGGCACGGACCAGCCUAAGCCAGUGGUCAUAAGACGGGCCUGCCAAAGCAACAAAGGUAAUAUAAACAAAGGGUGGAGUAUUAGGGUGUAAGCCCAUAAUGACUCUUUAAUGAUCCUUCCGCAGGUUCACCUACGGAAA
This 198-nucleotide unclassified non-coding RNA is filed under the name uncultured fungus. RNAcentral describes it as "sequence contains ITS1". The record is from RNAcentral. Lineage: Eukaryota; Fungi.